This 450-nucleotide ribosomal RNA is filed under the name uncultured bacterium. RNAcentral's name for it is "bacterial SSU rRNA". It matches the Rfam family "Bacterial small subunit ribosomal RNA", at positions 29 to 526 of the family's 1533-position model. The record is from RNAcentral.
AACGAACGCUGGCGGCAGGCUUAACACAUGCAAGUCGAACGCCCCGCAAGGGGAGUGGCAGACGGGUGAGUAACGCGUGGGAAUCUACCCAGCUCUACGGAAUAACUCAGGGAAACUUGUGCUAAUACCGUAUACGUCCGAUAGGAGAAAGAUUUAUCGGAGUUGGAUGAGCCCGCGUUGGAUUAGCUAGUUGGUGGGGUAAUGGCCUACCAAGGCGACGAUCCAUAGCUGGUCUGAGAGGAUGAUCAGCCACAUUGGGACUGAGACACGGCCCAAACUCCUACGGGAGGCAGCAGUGGGGAAUAUUGGACAAUGGGCGAAAGCCUGAUCCAGCCAUGCCGCGUGAGUGAUGAAGGCCCUAGGGUUGUAAAGCUCUUUCAACGGUGAAGAUAAUGACGGUAACCGUAGAAGAAGCCCCGGCUAACUUCGUGCCAGCCGCCGCAGUAACAC